This 253-nucleotide ribosomal RNA is filed under the name uncultured bacterium. RNAcentral describes it as "partial 16S ribosomal RNA". It matches the Rfam family "Bacterial small subunit ribosomal RNA", at positions 524 to 776 of the family's 1533-position model. The record is from RNAcentral.
UACAGAGGUGGCAAGCGUUGCUCGGUAUCACUGGGCUUAAAGGGCGCGUAGGCGGCCUUCUAAGUCAGACGUGAAAUCCCCCGGCUUAACCUGGGAACUGCGUCUGAUACUGGGAGGCUUGAGUAUGGGAGAGGGAUGUAGAAUUCCAGGUGUAGCGGUGAAAUGCGUAGAUAUCUGGAGGAAUACCGGUGGCGAAGGCGGCAUCCUGGACCAUUACUGACGCUGAGGCGCGAAAGCUAGGGGAGCAAACGGG